UGCCAGCCGCCGCGGUAAUACGGAGGGGGUUAGCGUUGUUCGGAAUUACUGGGCGUAAAGCGCACGUAGGCGGAUUAGUAAGUUGGGGGUGAAAUCCCGGGGCUCAACCCCGGAACUGCCUCCAAAGCUAUCAGUCUAGAGUUCGAGAGAGGUGAGUGGAAUUCUAAGUGUAGAGGUGAGAUUCGUAGAUAUUCGGAGGAACACCAGUGGCGAAGGCGGCUCACUGGCUCGAUACUGACGCUGAGGUGCGAAAGUGUGGGGAGCAAACAGGAUUAGAUA
RNAcentral lists this ribosomal RNA (279 nucleotides) under uncultured bacterium. Its description in RNAcentral is "partial 16S ribosomal RNA". It matches the Rfam family "Bacterial small subunit ribosomal RNA", at positions 506 to 784 of the family's 1533-position model. The record is from RNAcentral.